UGACAUUGCCUGAGGAAGGCUAGCCCGGGCAUGACCUAAUGGGGUCACUUCCCUCCCACCUCCAGGAGCAGCCUCUGACGCAGGCUUGAAAUCUGGGGCAGCAAGUGAGAACCAGUCACAGCUGGGGUUAUUCAUCUCCUUUGGAUGUAACUGAAAUCUCAUCUUGGAAAUCUUGGUCGUACAGGCAGUGGGCAGAAUGUAAAUAACCUACUUUGGAAAUCUGAUCUGCGUGCAGUGGGCAGCCUGCAAUUCAAGCUAUAUUUUGUGUGAGAAGAGAUGAGUCCCCAAAGCAGAACCAGCAAUGGAGCUGUCUUUUCCUCUGAAUGCCGGGAUUCCGUGGGCUCACAUCGGGGAGCAAGCACAAGAGGGCGUACACAGUGGAGCUAACAGGCCCAAAAGGGAAGCACAAAUUUUCUUCAAGCAGCUAUUUUGAGAGAGAAUAUAACUCUUCUCUUGUAUUUCUCAAGGGAUAUUAUGGGAAACCUAAUACAUAACUCACAAGUUACCAGAGUCACACGGAAGAUGCCGAAUCACCCCACUGCAGACAGGCAGCCACCUGGUUCCACACUACAAAGACGCAGAGGACAC
Molecule: long non-coding RNA, 588 nt
Filed under: Heterocephalus glaber (naked mole-rat)
Lineage: Eukaryota; Metazoa; Chordata; Mammalia; Rodentia; Bathyergidae
Description: lncRNA (ENSHGLG00100039204.1)
Source: RNAcentral